GUUAAGGGUCAAAGUUAACUGUAAGGCUCAACUCAGGGCACAAAAGCUCCAGAUGUCUCUCCAGGCUGAUCUCUGAUUGGUUGACAGGAGGACUGUACAAUGGCUGAAAGCGUCUCGGUUUCGCUUUUGUGCUCUUGAUGGCACCUGCAGCCCAUCAGGCCAUCCCCAGAAGUUCUGCUGUGUCUCCCUGCUCAGGAGAUGGGCGGUUACUCAAGGAGAGCUGUGCAGGGCAGUAGAAAGCCAUGAACCCAGCCUCAGCACUAGGAUCUGCUCCUGUAAAAGCCCUACAAAAUGAUCCCCUGGAAGCUGCUCAGCUGCAUGUUUCUAAAUGAACUGUCAUAAACAUUGAUAUUGGUAUUGAUAUUCUUUUAAAUAGACAUUACAUGGACAUGCAGUACACACCAAGCAGCAGUGUCUUUUCAGUGUUUAUUGAGUUUCUGAUCUAUCAAUGCCAUCAUAUCAGACACUUCCAUUAUGGUAAGGCACAGGUUUGUUCAGAUAAAACACUGAUCUUAUGUACAGCAAAUGUGUGGACGUGGUACAUACAAACAACUCUUUCUUAGCCUGAAUGACCAGCCAACAAUUGGUCCAAUAAAAAAACAAAACAAAAAACAAAAAACUGGUUUCAUUCAUUUCAAAGCCCUUUUUGUUAUACAAGAUUCAAAAGGUAAAGCCAACAUUUUGCAAUGCAAUAUGAAAUGUAACGUCAUACCAAAAGCUUAAAAAUAAAAAUUGUGAGGGAAAAAAAGCAAAUACAUUUCAAAAACGUGACUGAAUACAGAUUCAAAGUAAUGCCUGGAAAUGCCUGCAGAGUACUGACUUGACUAGCAUCUUGUGAGCCGUGAACUAAAAGUUUACAGUUACACGUUUACCUUGGUAUGACGACAAGUCUUUCUUACAAAGUGGUAACAAAAAAUAAAACGAAUCCUGCUGCGCCUAAAUCUAAUAGUUAGUUCCUGUUGUGCAUAAUUUAAGCUCAUAAUCGGUCACAUGAUUGUCCAAUAGAAAUUUAGGUCCAACAAGAA
Oreochromis niloticus (Nile tilapia) is the source of this 1025-nucleotide long non-coding RNA. RefSeq lists it as uncharacterized. NCBI's taxonomy places the organism in Eukaryota, Metazoa, Chordata, Actinopteri, Cichliformes, Cichlidae. The record is from RefSeq and is a predicted model, not a curated record. The transcript has 2 exons.